AAUCACAACCAAAGCUUAAAGCUGUUGGGAUGAGCAGCUGCCUGGGAAUCACGCUCCUUCCUGCUCUUUCCAAAAAGCCAGGUGCCGCCGGCCAGCAUCCCGCUCCCUUUGACCCGCAGUCUGUGCGGGAAGUAGGCCCGGAGUGGUGCCAGCAGGAGGUGGCCUUAGAAAGGCGGAGACCCAAGGAGCAGAGUGAGUCGGCGUCCAGCUCCACCUGAAAGCGCCAUCUUGUCGCCACUUCCCUCAGGAGCAGCAUGCCCAGCCUCUUGCAUAGGAAGAAGUGGUAAGCUAAGGAGAGAAAUGCAGGGUUCCUAGUACACCAAUUUUCCAACUUUUUCAUCUUGGCCCUGCUUUAAAAUGAUGCAUCUACUGUCUUCAUGCCUCAGCACAGCAGAGAAAACCAUGCUGUGUUCCAGUUUACUUUGAAUGUUUCAGUGAAAAUGAUGAAGCUGAAAAAAUGACGGAGGCCCGUUUUACAUGGUCACCUGAAUGUGGAAAAGUUGAGUUGGAGCAAAACUGGCACGGCCAUACUGGAUGGACCUCAGCAUGACCAGGACACAUUUCAGCUCAAAUCCCCUGUGCCAAGAACACAUUCUGCCAAGGACCACCACCUCUUCCCACAACUGUGAGUGGAUUUAUGUCAUCACAGGAGGUGCAAAAACGUGUGGUGAGGUAAAUGAAUUGGGAUGUCCUUGGCUGCCUGAGCAAGAGGGCAACUUUCCUGCCUUUAGAAUAGAGAAAACACAGCAGGAUAAUUAAGAGGAUGAGACUUUGGUUCCAACAGACAGUGGCUUCUCCUUCCCUAAAUUGCCCUUAUUUUGUAGUAAGUUAUAAUAUGUUUAUUUUCUACCACCUUAUUACUUCACUACGUGAACCAAAAAUAAAAUCCUAAAGCCAACCA
This 901-nucleotide long non-coding RNA is filed under the name Homo sapiens (human). Its description in RNAcentral is "long intergenic non-protein coding RNA 1501". Lineage: Eukaryota; Metazoa; Chordata; Mammalia; Primates; Hominidae. The record is from RNAcentral.